This 1469-nucleotide ribosomal RNA is filed under the name uncultured Bordetella sp. RNAcentral describes it as "partial 16S-23S ribosomal RNA intergenic spacer". It matches the Rfam family "Bacterial small subunit ribosomal RNA". The record is from RNAcentral. Lineage: Bacteria; Pseudomonadati; Pseudomonadota; Betaproteobacteria; Burkholderiales; Alcaligenaceae.
GGUUCGAUUCUGGCUCAGAUUGAACGCUGGCGGGAUGCUUUACACAUGCAAGUCGAAACGCGUACGGACUUCGGUCUGGUGGCGAGUGGCGAACGGGUGAGUAAUGUAUCGGAACGUGCCUAGUAGCGGGGGAUAACUACGCGAAAGCUGAAGCAUUACCGUAUACGCCCUUCGGGGGAAAGCGGGGACCUUCGGGCCUCGCACUAUUAGAGCGGCCGAUAUCGGAUUAGCUAGUUGGUGGGGUAACGGCUCACCAAGGCGACGAUCCGUAGCUGGUUUGAGAGGACGACCAGCCACACUGGGACUGGAGACACGGCCCAGACUCCUACGGGAGGCAGCAGUGGGGAAUUUUGACAAUGGGGGAAACCCCUGAUCCAGCCAUCCCGCGUGUGCGAUGAAGGCCUUCGGGUUGUAAAGCACUUUUGGCAGGAAAGAAACGGCACGGAUAAUACCCCGUGCAACUGACGGUACCUGCAGAAUAAGCACCGGCUAACUACGUGCCAGCAGCCGCGGUAAUGUAGGCAGCAAGCGAACGAAUCUGGGCGUAAAGCGUGCGCAGGCGGUUCGGAAAGAAAGAUGUGAAAUCCCAGAGCUUAACUUUGGAACUGCAUUUUUAACUACCGAGCUAGAGUGUGUCAGAGGGAGGUGGAAUUCCGCGUGUAGCAGUGAAAUGCGUAGAUAUGCGGAGGAACACCGAUGGCGAAGGCAGCCUCCUGGGAUAACACUGACGCUCAUGCACGAAAGCGUGGGGAGCAAACAGGAUUAGAUACCCUGGUAGUCCACGCCCUAAACGAUGUCAACUAGCUGUUGGGGCCUUCGGGCCUUGGUAGCGCAGCUAACGCGUGAAGUUGACCGCCUGGGGAGUACGGUCGCAAGAUUAAAACUCAAAGGAAUUGACGGGGACCCGCACAAGCGGUGGAUGAUGUGGAUUAAUUGAUGCAACGCGAAAACCUUACCUACCCUUGACGUGUCUGGAAUCCCGAAGAAGAGAUUUGGGAGUGCUCCAAGAGAACCGGAACACAGGUGCUGCAUGGCUGUCGUCAGCUCGUGUCGUGAGAUGUUGGGUUAAGUCCCGCAACGAGCGCAACCCUUGUCAUUAGUUGCUACGAAAGGCACUCUAAUGAGACUGCCGGUGACAAACCGGAGGAAGGUGGGGUGACGUCAAGUCCUCAUGGCCCUUAUGGGUAGGGCUUCACACGUCAUACAAUGGUCGGGACAGAGGGUCGCCAACCCGCGAGGGCAAUCCCAGAAACCCGAUCGUAGUCCGGAUCGCAGUCUGCAACUCGACUGCGUGAAGUCAAUCGCUAGUAAUCGCGGAUCAGCAUGUCGCGGUGAAUACGUUCCCGGGUCUUGUACACACCGCCCGUCACACCAUGGGAGCGGGUUUUACCAGAAGUAGUUAGCCUAACCGUAAGGAGGGCGAUUACCACGGUAGGAUUCAUGACUGGGGUGAAGUCGUAACAAGGUAG